This 535-nucleotide ribosomal RNA is filed under the name Acinocheirodon melanogramma. RNAcentral's name for it is "partial small subunit ribosomal RNA". It matches the Rfam family "Bacterial small subunit ribosomal RNA", at positions 657 to 1402 of the family's 1533-position model. The record is from RNAcentral. Lineage: Eukaryota; Metazoa; Chordata; Actinopteri; Characiformes; Characidae.
UAAAGCUAAAGACCUUCUAAGCCGUCACACGCAUACCGAAGGCACGAGGCCCCGACACGAAAGUAGCUUUACUAUUACCCCGACGCCACGAAAGCUAAGAAACAAACUGGGAUUAGAUACCCCACUAUGCUUAGCCUUAAACCCAGAUGUUGAGCCCACAAACAACAUCCGCCAGGGUACUACGAGCGCUAGCUUAAAACCCAAAGGACUUGACGGUGUCUCAGACCCACCUAGAGGAGCCUGUUCUAGAACCGAUAAUCCCCGUUCAACCUCACCACCCCUUGCUUUUCCCGCCUAUAUACCGCCGUCGCAAGCUUACCCUGUGAAGGACCUACAGUAAGCAAAAUGAGUACAACCCAAAACGUCAGGUCGAGGUGUAGCUCACGAGGUGGAAAGAAAUGGGCUACAUUUUCUUCAACAGAAUACUACGGACAACACUAUGAAACCAGUGUUUUAAGGUGGAUUUAGUAGUAAAAAACAAAUAGAGUGUGUUUUUGAACCAGGCUCUGAGACGCGCACACACCGCCCGUCACUC